AGAGCGAACGCUGGCGGCAGGCUUAACACAUGCAAGUCGAGCGGGCGUAGCAAUACGUCAGCGGCAGACGGGUGAGUAACGCGUGGGAACGUACCUUUUGGUUCGGAACAACACAGGGAAACUUGUGCUAAUACCGGAUAAGCCCUUACGGGGAAAGAUUUAUCGCCGAAAGAUCGGCCCGCGUCUGAUUAGCUAGUUGGUGAGGUAAUGGCUCACCAAGGCGACGAUCAGUAGCUGGUCUGAGAGGAUGAUCAGCCACAUUGGGACUGAGACACGGCCCAAACUCCUACGGGAGGCAGCAGUGGGAAUAUUGGACAAUGGGCGCAAGCCUGAUCCAGCCAUGCCGCGUGAGUGAUGAAGGCCCUAGGGUUGUAAAGCUCUUUUGUGCGGGAAGAUAAUGACGGUACCGCAAGAAUAAGCCCGGCUAACUUCGCGCCAGCAGCCGC
This 446-nucleotide ribosomal RNA is filed under the name uncultured bacterium. RNAcentral's name for it is "SSU rRNA". It matches the Rfam family "Bacterial small subunit ribosomal RNA", at positions 26 to 518 of the family's 1533-position model. The record is from RNAcentral.